GGUCUCUAUGGGGUCCCUACUGGGUUCCUAUUUGGGGGUCCCAUUUGGGGUCUCUAUGGGGUCCCUAUUGUGUUCCCAUUUGGGGUCUCUAUUGGGGUCCCAUUUGGGUUCUGUAUUGGGUUUCUAUUUGGGGUCUCUAUGGGGUCUCUAUUGGGGUCCCAUUUGGGGUCUCUAUUGGGGUCUCUAUGGGGUCCCUAUUGGGGUCCCAUUUGGGGUCUCCAAUAGGGUCCCAUUUGGGGUCUCUCUGAGGUCUCUAUUGGGGUCUCUAUGGGGUCCCUAUUGGGUUCCUAUUUGGGUUCCCAUUUGGGGUCUCUAUUGGGGUCUCUAUGGGGUCUCUAUGGGGUCUCUAUGGGGUCUCUAUUGGGGUCUCUAUGGGGUCCCUAUUGGGGUCCCAUUUGGGUUCUCUAUUGGGUUCCUAUUUGGGGUCUCUAUGGGGUCCCUAUUGGGUUCCCAUUUGGGGUCUCUAUGUGGUCUCUAUUGGGGUCCCACUUGAGGUUCUCUAUAGGUUCCCAUUUGGGGUCUCUAUUGGGUUCUCUAUGGGGUCUCUAUUGGGGUCUCAUAUGGAGUCCCUAUUGGGUUCCUAUUUGGGGGUCCCACUUGGGUUCUCUAUGGGGUCUCUAUGGGGUCUCUAUUGGGUUCUCUAUGGGGGUCCCAUUUGGGGUCUCUAUGGGGUCCCUAUUGGGUUCCUAUUUGGGUUCCCAUUUGAGGUCUCUAUGGGGUCUCUAUUGGGUUCCCAUUUGGGGCCUCUAUUGGGGCCUCUAUUGGGGUCUCUAUGGGGUCUCUAUUGGGGUCUCUAUGGGGGUCCCAUUUGGGGUCUCUAUUGGGGUCUCUAUGGGGUCUCUAUGUGUUCUCUACCCCCCCCCCCAAACUCACCACCACAUUGGCGCUGCUGCCGCCGUUGUCCCCCCCCUGUUCUCUCCCAUCUCCGUCCUGUCCCCCCCCCUCAGCUCCUCCCCCCUCGUUGCCCCCCGCCUCAAUUCCAUCUUGGGGGGGUGGGGGGGGGGCGACACGGGGCUGAUGAUGGAGCAGCUUUGGGAUGAGCUGGCGGUACUGCGGGGUCCUCCGGCCGAUAGGGGGCGCUGUAGGAUUUUGUUCCAUUGACCCACGUCGUUUAAGGGGUCGGGGCAUUUGGGUCAGAACCCGAACCACCUCCUGGUACUCGGGAACUUCCCGAACCUCCGGUGGGAGGAGGGGUUGUAACCGAGUUGGACUCAAUGGACGAUCAAUGGAAUCCGGUUCGGAACCGAUGGAUCCAAUCGAUCCCGUCCCGGUUCCUAUUAAAGACGUUGGGAUUAAAUCCGGUUCCGAUUCGGGUUCCGGAUCCGAUGUGGUACGAGAUGGGGGAGGGUCCGAAAUGGGAUCCGGGAAUAUGGGGCGGCAUUGGGCUGAAUGGGAAACGGGGGGGGGUUAAUAAAGGGGGGGGAGACCCCA
Molecule: long non-coding RNA, 1431 nt
Filed under: Coturnix japonica (Japanese quail)
Lineage: Eukaryota; Metazoa; Chordata; Aves; Galliformes; Phasianidae
Description: lncRNA (ENSCJPG00005002134.1)
Source: RNAcentral